Molecule: ribosomal RNA, 527 nt
Filed under: Salmonella enterica
Lineage: Bacteria; Pseudomonadati; Pseudomonadota; Gammaproteobacteria; Enterobacterales; Enterobacteriaceae
Description: partial 23S ribosomal RNA
Rfam family: Bacterial large subunit ribosomal RNA
Source: RNAcentral
GAAAUACCACCCUUUAAUGUUUGAUGUUCUAACGUGGACCCGUGAUCCGGGUUGCGGACAGUGUCUGGUGGGUAGUUUGACUGGGGCGGUCUCCUCCUAAAGAGUAACGGAGGAGCACGAAGGUUGGCUAAUCCUGGUCGGACAUCAGGAGGUUAGUGCAAUGGCAUAAGCCAGCUUGACUGCGAGCGUGACGGCGCGAGCAGGUGCGAAAGCAGGUCAUAGUGAUCCGGUGGUUCUGAAUGGAAGGGCCAUCGCUCAACGGAUAAAAGGUACUCCGGGGAUAACAGGCUGAUACCGCCCAAGAGUUCAUAUCGACGGCGGUGUUUGGCACCUCGAUGUCGGCUCAUCACAUCCUGGGGCUGAAGUAGGUCCCAAGGGUAUGGCUGUUCGCCAUUUAAAGUGGUACGCGAGCUGGGUUUAGAACGUCGUGAGACAGUUCGGUCCCUAUCUGCCGUGGGCGCUGGAGAACUGAGGGGGGCUGCUCCUAGUACGAGAGGACCGGAGUGGACGCAUCACUGGUGUUCGGG